RNAcentral lists this long non-coding RNA (10166 nucleotides) under Gossypium barbadense (sea-island cotton). Its description in RNAcentral is "long non-coding RNA (GBAR_LNC013095)". The record is from RNAcentral. Lineage: Eukaryota; Viridiplantae; Streptophyta; Magnoliopsida; Malvales; Malvaceae.
CAACUGCGUGGUGCAUGUCGUAAUGUACACCUAUUACCUGUUGUGCACCCUGGGGAUGCACCCUAAGUGGAAGAAAAUGGUGACGGAUUUUCAACUAGUGCAGUUCUGGUUAAGCUUUUUGAUCAUGGCCAUGCUUGUGUUCUACCACUUCACUGCUUCUGGCUGCUCUGGGAUUCUGAGUUGGUGUUUCAAUGCAGCCUUCAUCGUCUCUCUUCUCUACUUGUUCUCAGACUUUCAUGCCAAGAGUUACUCCACCAAUGCCAAGGUCUUCAAGGGUAACUAAUAAUUAAUUAAACUACCUUUUCUUUUCUUUUCUUUUCGUUUUCAUUUUUAUAUGUAGUUAUUGUUUCAGAGUGAUUCAUCAGUUGAAGAAAAAAAUGAACAUAAUUGUCAUAAAUUCCUUUUACGAUUUCAAUUCUUCGGUGUGCAUAUGUAUCUUAAUAUCAAUUAAUUGAAGAGAUUCAUUGUUAAUUUAUAUUUUAUGUUUUUACUAUAAAUGCAUGAUUAAACAGUUCCUGCUGUUGCAGAAGCGACGAUAAUAUUAAUAACAAUAUUAUCAGAAAUAUUUAGAUAAUUAUUAUGCCGACAAUUAUACUAAGAAAAUUCCCAGUUAAAUUGGAGGGGUCACAAAUGGUCCCGCUUAAAACCCAACAACUAGACAGAACUCACUUAGAUAUUUAUAGCAAUAAUAACUAAAUAAAUAUAACCAACAUAAAGCUAUUAAAUAUAAGCAAACAACUAAGAAAUAAAAUACCAGAGUUUUAACGAGGUUCGGCCAAUUUAACUUACGUCCUCGGACACUACCAAAUUAAUAUUUCCUCUAGAAAUAUUACAAUAGAGAAGAUUAACACCAAGUUACAAUUAGCUACUUGGAUUUUUGGAAUGAUAAAACCUAAGGGGGAAGGGUUCUAUAUAUAACAAACCAAACCCCCUCCCUUUCUAUCUUUUCCUAAUGUGGGAUAUUGCCAAUAUUCAACAAAUCUCCACCUUGGUGAUAUUCCACAUCUUCGAACAUCUUCUCAUAACACAAACUUCAAUAGUGUCUUCAAAUUUGCAACCAAUCGCCUUCUUCCCUUUUGGUAGUUGUGCCAGUUUCCACGUCUUGUUUUUCUCUAGAGAUUGCAUUUCCUCUUCCAUUGCACCUAACCAUCUAUUAUUCUCUAAAUUUUGAAUGGCUUCGGUGUAAGUGGAUGGAAUAUUAUCAACAACUGGAAGUGCAUAAGCUACCAUGUCAGUGAAACGAGCAGGUUUCUGAAUUUCUCGUCUCUGCCUUCUGACUGCAAUUGGCUCUGAUUGCUGUUGAGGUUCUUGGGUAGAAACCUCUUCCUCAUCUGACUCUGCAUCUGCCAAUGAAGAAUCACUAGUGGUACCUUCUGCUGGAAUUACCACUCUCUGCUCAAACUCCACCUGCUGCGGAGUACACUUCACCUGCUGCGAAGUACUACUCGAAGUACUACUCACUCCUUCUGGAUUUACCUUAUUCAACAUGGCAGAUUCAUCAAAGGUAACAUCCCUACUGAUUAUCGUCUUCUUUGCCUCUAGACACCACAAACGAUACCCCUUAACACCAGCAUUGAAGCCCAUGAAUAGAGCCUUCUUUGCUCUUGGAUCUAACUUUGAUUCUUUCACAUGAUAAUAUGCAAUAGAACCAAAAAUACGCAAGGUGUCAUAAUCAGUAGCAGGUUUUCCAUACCAUUUCUCCAAAGGAGUCUUGCCAUUUAUAGCAGAUGAUGGCAAAUGAUUGAUGAGAUGUUGAGCGUACGUCACAGCCUCAGCCCAAAACUUUCUAUCUAAUCCAGCAUUAGAUAACAUACAUCGAACUUUCUCCACAAGCGUUCGAUUCAUACGCUCUGCCACCCCAUUCUGUUGCGGUGUUCCACCUACGGUGAAGUGCCUUACUAUGCCACAAUCUUGGCAUAUCUUCAGGAAUGGAUCGCUUUUAUAUUCUCCACCAUUGUCUGAUCGGAGAACCUUAAUCUUCCUUCCUGUCUGAUUUUCAAUUUUAGUUUUCCACUUAAGGAAAACUUCAAGCACCUCAUCUUUGUUCUUCAUAGGAAACACCCAAACUCGUCUGGAAAAAUCAUCAAUAAAGGUGACAAAAUAACGUCUUCCUCCAAGUGAUGGAGUCUUGGACGGUCCCCAUACAUCAAAAUGCACAUAAUCCAGAAUACCUUUAGUAUUGUGAAUCCCAGUGCCAAAUUUCACCCUUCGUUGUUUUCCCAGAACACAAUGCUCGCAAAAUUCAAGUUUGCAAGUCUUUGUACCUUUCAAUAAUCCUUGCUUGGCUAGAGUUUGCAAGGAUUUUUCACCAGCAUGGCCCAAACGCAUAUGCCACAGCUGUGUUGCCUCAGCGUCCUUCUUGGUACUCGAAAUUGCUGCUGCUGUUGCCCCGACCACUGUACUACCUUGGUAGUAAUACAGAUUGUUCUUUCUUAUGCCUUUCAACAUCACCAAUGCUCCUGAAGUUGCUUUAAGAACUCCAUCUCGUAUUGUCACAACUAGGCCUUUAGAUUCUAACGACCCCAAAGAGAUGAGAUUCUUCUUCAACUUUGGGACAUAUCGUACAUCCCGCAAAAUUCUAGUAGAUCCAUCAUGACUCCUCAGUUUAAUUGAACCUAUCCCGGCUAUUUUACAUGUGUUAUCAUUACCCAUGUAAACAACCCCUCCAUCUAGUUUUUGAAAUUCAAAGAACCAUUCCCAAAUGGGACACAUAUGAUAGGAACAACCAGAAUCCAUGAUCCACUCAUCUGCAUGUGAUGUUGAAGAUGUCAUACUAAGAGAAAAGUCUGACUCUGCUUCACUAUUGCAUUCUGCAACAUUUGCAUCUUGCGGAGUCUUCCAUUUUUUCUUCAAUUUUGGACAAUCUUUCUUCCAAUGUCCUUUUUCUUUGCAAAAGGAACAUUCAUCUUUGGCAACAGCUCGACCUUUGGACUUUCUUCUCUUCCUCUUAGACUGACUUUCCUGACGAUCUCUUGUUAACAAUGCUUCCACUGCUGCUUCACUUGAACCUUUCAACUUAUCCUUUCGGCGUAGUUCAUAGCUAUACAAUGCAGCAGUUACUUCAUUGAAAGUUACUUCCGACUUUCUAUGAAGUAAAGUAGUUUCAAGGUACUCAAACUCCUUUGGAAGCGAUCCCAACAACAUAAACGCCAAGUCUUCGUCUUCAAAAGUCACAUCCAAAUUCAACAAAUCAACCACCAGCUGAUUAAAAUUGGUAAUGUGCUCAUUCAUCGUGGUACCAGGAACAUAACUGAAACGAAACAGUCUUUUCUUCAUAUGCAACUUAUUUUGACUGUUCUUCUUCAGGAAUUUCUCCUCCAAUGCUUUCUACAAUUUACUUGCAGAAGUCUCUUUACUGAAUAUAUACUUCUGCUCUCUGGAAAGACAUGAUCGAAUUGUACCACAUGCCAAUCGGUUGAUGGUCUUCCAUUCUUUAUCAUCAACCCCUUCUGGUUUUUCUUCCUCAAUGGCAAUAUCUAGACCUUGUUGAAAGAAGGCAUCUAGAAGCUCACUUUGCCACAUGCCGAAAUGACCUAUUCCAUCAAAAAUUUCCACUGCAAAUCUCGUAUUUGCAAUUCCAACCCUCGACAAAAUGUACGAAGUGGAAGUUGUUGAUAUGGAUGGUUUUUCUUCUGUCAUUUUUGCCAUAGCUUCUAUUUAAUAGCCACCAAAUGCGGAAUACCCACAAGCUUUAGGAAAUGUUUCUGAUGUGUAAGAUCAGACUAAGCUGCAAACACAGAGCAUACUACAAAACCUUGGCUCGGAUACCAAUUGUUGCAGAAGCGACGAUAAUAUUAAUAACAAUAUUAUCAAAAAUAUUUAGAUAAUUAUUAUGCCGACAAUUAUACUAAGAAAAUUCCCAGUUAAAUUGGAGGGGUCACAAAUGGUCCCGCUUAAAACCCAACAACUAGACAGAACUCACUUAGAUAUUUAUAGCAAUAAUAACUAAAUAAAUAUAACCAACAUAAAGCUAUUAAAUAUAAGCAAACAACUAAGAAAUAAAAUACCAGAGUUUUAACGAGGUUCGGCCAAUUUAGCUUACGUCCUCGGACACUACCAAAUUAAUAUUUCAUCUAGAAAUAUUACAAUAGAGAAGAUCAACACCAAGUUACAAUUAGCUACUUGGAUUUUUGGGAUGAUAAAACCUAAGGGGGAAGGGUUCUAUAUAUAACAAACCAAACCCCCUCCCUUUCUAUCUUUUCCUAAUGUAGGAUAUUGCCAAUAUUCAACACCUGCUGCAUGCAAUUGUAUUAUAUUAUCGUUUCUAAUGACGAAGAAAAUGGAACAACCGUGAAGUGAAAAAAAAAAAGUUGAUGAGAAAAAUAAAUCAAGGCGGACAUAGAAAUUGUUGUCGCAGUCAACAUUAAAUAUGGUAAGCAGGUGAGUUAAUAAGUUUGACAGGUCCUCACCAAAAAUUAACUUCUCCCUUUUAUCGUCAUAUGUAUUAUUUAAGAUAUUGCAUGCUUUUGUCGUUUUCAUUACACCAAUAUUUUAUGUCUAGUAAGUUUUGGAACAACACCUCAUGAUUCAUCCAUUAAAUUCCAAUUUAGCGUUAUAUAAGUUUUUUUUUCUUAGAGAAUAUUAAGAAAAUCCAGUGUCAUAUAUACACAACAUGAAAUAAAUUUGGUAAUAAAAAAAAUUUGAGAGUAGGGCACCAAAUUAUAGUCCAGUAUUUCAAAUUAAUUUGGUUAUAAGGUCAACAAUCAAUUAUGCAAAUGAUGUAAACCUAAGACACUACUUUAUCACAUGUAUUGUUUCUACUGAUUAGUUUUAAUCAAUUGAAGUUAAUUGGAAAUAAAAUAAAGUAAUUGAUUAUGAAAUUGAUAGAGAUAACAGGUCAACCAAAUGAAUUAUUUUUCCUAUAUUAAAUUAUAAAACAUUCAAAAUGUAGUUAUGACACACGAAUAAGAUUUAUAUAAAAUAUAUAUAUUUAUUAAAAUUUUAUAUGAAAAUCAAAUCAAAUGAAAUUGAAGUUUUUAAAAUUAUAAUGUUUAUGGUGAAUUCAAGUAACAUCUAAAACAAUCAUUAAAAAAAUUGGAGAUUAAUAAGUUAGAAUUGUUUGGAGAGAUCUUACUCAAAAUAAAAAUUACUUUGACGAAAAUCAUAUUAUUAUAUUUUUUAAUAUGAAAGCUUCAAUCUUAUCAGAUUUAUAAUUUUACUUUAUAUUAUUUUUAAUUCAUAUUGUAAUUAUAAUUUAUAAUGAUAAUUAUUUAUUAUUUAUUAUUAUUUUAAAAUUUCAUAACCUUCGUUACUUACGGUUUGUUUAAGGUUACACACAAAAUUAAUGAAAAAUUAUAACCUCUGCUGCUUGAGGUUUGCUUAAGGUUGUUCACAAAAUUAAUGAAAAAAUUAUAACCUUCAUCACUUAUGACUUGUGUUAUAAAAGGUAAAAAAAUCAAGACAAAUCAAUUCAUCGUGUUUUUCUUCAUCAAAUCUGAUAGACGACUUCAAUUAAACAUUAGAUAAAUCUCUAUUGAUUUUAGUUUGCAUAAUACGAAAAACUUCAAUUUUUAAAUUUGAUCCAAUUUGAAUUUAAAUUUUAUUUAAUAAAAUAUUUAUAUGAUUUUAAAUUAGAAAAUAUAUUUAAAAAGUAAAAAAAUACAGAUUUAAUAUUAAAAUUAAAAAUUAAUGUUUUAACUUAAUUAAAUUUAAAUAUUAAUAUUUAAUUUGGUAAUUUUAAUAUAUUAAAAUCCCAAAUAAUUCUAUCUAUUAAUGUACAAUUACAAAUUAAAUCAACUUUAUGCUCAAAAUAAUUUUUUUAAUAUAUAUAUGAAUUAUAAAAAUAGAAUUGUUCUAAGUUUUAUUCCAAAAUCAAAGUGUUAAAAUGGGAUGCAUUUCUUAUAUUAAUAUUUUAUUUUCAUAUUAAAAUAAUAAAAUGUAAAUUAAAAUGAGUUGAAAUUUAAUAAAUAUUAAAUUACACUUUCUAAUUAACUCCAAUUGCAUAUUGAUUGUCAUUAGGAUUAUCUAAUCACAUUAUUUUUAUAAUACAAAUAUGAGAAAAUAUUUAGUACAUCAGUGAAAUUUUUAACUUUCACAAGUAAAGUUAGAGAGUUUAACAAGUUAUAGGGAUAGAGUAAAAUAUUAAAAAAAAAGAGAGUCAUAUAACAAAAUUUUAAAGUUGUUUGUGAAAUAAAUAAAAAAAUACACUACCACUAUAACAAAUACUAACCUUGCAAAUAUAUUUACAAUAUAAAAUGUUUUAAAACAUUAAGAGUAAAUUAAAAUAAUAAUAAUAAUGUGCAACGCGUGUGGGGCUAAAAACUAAUAUAUAUAAAAUACAAAGUAAAAAAAUGGACUAAACUAGGUUUAAGUUUUGAGUAUUAGAGUUCAAGCUUGAUUCAUAUUUUAAAUGAGUCUAAUAUUUUUAUCUAAAACUAUUUUUAAACUUCAUAAUUUUAUUCAAAUCUAUUUAUUAUAUAAAAUCAAAUUCUUUUGGGAGUCAUUAGGAAUUAAUAAGGAUAAUUUUGGUAGUAAAAGUUAAAGACAAUUAUAUAUUUUGGAAAAAAUAAUUAUUUUAAAAUUUAAUAAAACUAACUCCCUUUUAGUAAUUAGGAAUUAAUAAGCACAAUUUAGACAUUAAAAGUUUAGAUAAUUGAAAUUUUUUAAUUACUUAUUUUAAAAUUUUUUAUUCCAUUUUAAUUAUUUGUAUUUAAAUUGUUCUUUUAAGUCCAAAUGAAAUUAUUUAUGCUUAAUUCAUUAAUCUUUUACCAAAAUUUUUUUUUAAAAAUUUUUAAUAAUUUAAUAAUUUAAUUUUAAUAUAAAAAAUCUAUAUUCCAAGAAUUUACAUACCAAAAUGUAUAUAAAAAAUUUAGAUAGUAAGUUGAUGUUUUUAAAGGAAAAGGUGAGUAAAAAAUAAAAUAUUUUUAAGAUUAUUCAAAAGAUAAUAUCUGCAGUAGUAUCAGUAUCAGUAUCAGUAUCUAUAUGUAUUAAUAUCAUAUUUACUUUUGUUUUCUUCUAAAUUUAAAUUGGUUAGUUUCUUUAGUUUUACUUAAUAUAUUAUUAUUAAAAAAUUUAAUAAAUUUUCAAUUGAACUUUAAUUUCAGCUACACAUUUUGUAUAUGGUAAUAUUUGUUAUUAAGAAUAUUUGAUAUAUUAAUUAGCUUUUCAGUUACAAGUUUUUUUUGUAUAAAUAUUGUUCCAUCUUAUUAUUUUAUCCUAAUUUUCGUUUGAUCGUAAUUUUAUCUUAAUUUUUAAUUUUUUUUUCUCUACUAAGAGGUUAGUUUUUUAAAUGGAUACACGUGUUUACAUGCUAUUUUUAAAUAAAUUAUUAGUUUUUUUUAUCUAUUUCUUUGUUUUUCAAUGUCAAGCUCGAGUCUAAAACUUUUUUAUUUUUAAAUUGAGAGUAUAAUUUUUUUUCUAGUCUUCGUCGUAUUCUAACAUAAAAAAUUAAAAAUCCAUUAAUAACACUAUUUACUAAUAUUAUACAAAUAUAUAUCCAAAAUAGAUUACAAGAUUUCCUUUUAUGUCCAUUUUUAAUAUUUUUUUAUAAUAAUUCCAUGCAAGGGAAAAAUCAGGAUUUUAUUGUUUGAAGUUUAGAUAAAGCAUUUCUCUUUUCAAUUUUCUUACUCUUUUUUGUUGCACGUGAAAAAGUUAUUGGUGCUACCGCCCAGCUUUGGAUAUCAUUCUAUAUUUAAAUUGGGUAUAUUUCAUUUAUAUGAUUUGACAUGUUGAUGGCAUAUUUUAUAAAAUCAUAACAAUUUUCCAUAUAAGGUAAAAUUGUAUUUUAGAUAUCUAUUAUUGAUAGUAGUAAUUAAUUUUUUUGCUGGUAUUUUUUAAAGAGAUAAACGAUUAAUCAUGAAAUAUGCUCUAUUCUUAAUAAAGAGGCAAUGGAAGAAGAUUGUAUUUGAGUUGUUCGAUUAAAAAUUUUCAAAAUUGACUUGGAAAGAAGAAGUCAAAUAGAUUUAAAAAUAAUAAUAAAGAAAAAAAAUACAGAAACAACUAAAAGAAAAAAAUUAAGAACAAAGAAUAAAGAUUUAAAACAAUAAAUAAAUAAAACGAAAAUUAAAAAGUGGUUUAAAAAAUCGAUUGAUAUAAUAGCUAGAUGAAUAAGUGUCCAAUUGAACCAUUUGAGACAAAAAUCACAACAAAUUCAAUUAAUAACUCUAAUGGAACUCUAAUUAAUCUAAAUAAAAAAAAAUUAUAUGAUAAAGCAAGUUCUGAUGAAAAAUUCCUAUUACAUAGUGAGAUGACAAGUAAUGGAUUUUGAUAACAAUUUUUAUUAAAGUGGGAAGUGAUAAUGUAGUGAAUUAAUUUGGUAAAAGUUUUGUUCUUGUCAAGCCAUGAAAAGAUAAAAGUAAUAAAUUAUGGUAAUAAUGAAUCAUAUAAAUAUGGAAUUAUCUGUUAAUUAUUAAAAUAUGCUUUAUUAAGAUAUGUUCAAGAAUUAUAAUAGUAGUAAUUUUUUAUAUAUAGAGUUUAAGGUAAAAAAAAAGAGAUUAUUCCUGGGUACUUACUAAGCUUUUACAAGUGUAACGUGUGUUUUAAACACGUAGAUGGAAGAUCGAAUUAAAGCUCUAGAUUCAGGUUGAGAUUUCAACUCAUCUCAUCUCAUAACCAAGGUUUGAAGAGAGUACAAAUUUGAUAUUUUGGUUAUAGAAUAUGACAUGUACACAAGUUAUUGCCAGUGUUUUGAUAUUUUGAGUUUUAUAAUGAUUAGUUGACGUGAAAUAGUCGAAGUUGCUUCGGCAAUUAAUGUAACAUCUCAGUACUUUGACCCGAUGUUUGGGUCGGAUAUGAGGGUGUUACAUUGUUGGUAACUAUUUUGUAACUUUUCAUAAUUAGGUGACAAAAAAUUUCACUAAUAGUUAGAUAUUAAUUUUAUAAUUUUUCAUACUUGGGUGAACAAAAAGAAUUUACUAAUAGUUGAAGAAUUUACUAAUAGUUCAGUGAGUAAUAGUUUGAUUUACCCAAAAAUCUAUGUACUUACAAGUUACAAGAGGGGUAGGCUAAUUACCCCCUAUCCAUAAAUGAAUUCAUUACUGGCGGACCAUUAUCCAUAAAUGAAUAAACAUAAACAGGAAUGCAGUGGAAGUGGAUGGAUCAAUGAUAUCCAGUACCGGUAGGCAGUUGAGGUAGAGAAAAUAUUGGGUCAUACUUUUCAGUGCUUUUAAAGGCAAUCCCCCUCCCCUCCUCCUUUUUGCUGCAGCUUUAUUAACUGACGUAGUGCUAGAGUAGUAAAGGCAGCAGCAAGAUGGAAGUCCCCUUUUUCCCAACCCUUUUCUCCUGUAUCAAAGGCUUGGUGGUGCAACAAGCCUUGUUCUCAACCUUGGAGGAUUGGCUAGUGAAGCAUCCCAAAAUCCUCCAGUUUUCAUGGGAAAAUGGCCAAACACCAGCCUCCUCUCACCGCUUCCUCACCCUCACUGUCUUGUCUUACAUCUCUUUCACCUUCGUUCUCUCCCAACUAUCUCGCCCUUCACUUUCACGUCCACUCCUCAAAUCAAUCGCAGCCGUCCACAACAUCUUCCUCCUUACCCUUUCUUUCAUCAUGGCCCUGGGUUGCCUCGUUUCCAUCUUCUCCCAGGUGCCUAACUUCAACACCCUCGUUUGCUUCCCUAGGGGUACAUCCCCAUCGGGCCCUCUCUUUUUCUGGGCAUACAUCUUCUACCUCUCCAAGAUUGUUGAAUUCAUGGACACCCUUUUGAUCAUCCUCAGCGGAUCCAUGAAGAGGCUAUCCUUCCUUCACGUCUACCAUCACUCCAUGGUGGUCAUCAUGUGUUAUAUUUGCUUAGACAGUGCUCAGUCCUCCGUACCCAUGGUGCUGAUCACCAACUGCGUGGUGCAUGUCGUAAUGUACUCCUAUUACCUGUUGUGCACCCUGGGGAUGCACCCCAAGUGGAAGAAAAUGGUGACGGAUUUUCAACUGGUGCAGUUCCGGUUAAGCUUUUUGAUCAUGGCCAUGCUUGUGUUCUACCACUUCACUGCUUCUGGCUGCUCUGGGAUUCUGAGUUGGUGUUUCAAUGGAGCCUUCAACGUCUCUCUUCUCUACUUGUUCUCAGACUUUCAUGCCAAGAGUUACUCCACCAAUGCCAAGGUCUUCAAGGGUAACUAAUAAUUAAUUAAACCAACUUUUUUUUGUUUUUCCAUUUCGUUUCCAUUGUUACAUGUAGUAAUUGUUUCAGAGUGAUUCCGUUCAAGCUCAUGAAUCUGGUAUAGAAUCUUAAUUGUGAAAG